This 84-nucleotide ribosomal RNA is filed under the name Pichia manshurica. RNAcentral's name for it is "partial 28S ribosomal RNA". It matches the Rfam family "Eukaryotic large subunit ribosomal RNA", at positions 1 to 87 of the family's 3401-position model. Lineage: Eukaryota; Fungi; Ascomycota; Pichiomycetes; Pichiales; Pichiaceae. The record is from RNAcentral.
CCUCAGAUCAGGUAGGAGUACCCGCUGAACUUAAGCAUAUCAAUAAGCGGAGGAAAAGAAACCAACAGGGAUUGCCCCAGUAGC